RNAcentral lists this unclassified non-coding RNA (1484 nucleotides) under Hevea brasiliensis (rubber tree). The record is from RNAcentral. Lineage: Eukaryota; Viridiplantae; Streptophyta; Magnoliopsida; Malpighiales; Euphorbiaceae.
AAAAAAAAAAAAAAUCUUAAAUUUAAAAAAGUGAAAUCGAACACACCCAACAAUUUGCCUAAUUUGAUAAUCGCAACCAAACAGCUGCUAUUUCUUCCAACUGCUGGACGGAAGGAAAAAGCUCUGAAACAAAACCCUAACCCUCGAUUUGCCGUAACAACAAUGGCCAGCGACACCUAUCCCUCCAGCCGCAAGCAGCGCCGAUUGCCCCCAGACGAUGAAGCGGAGAAGUCCUCGAAGCGACACAAACACCGACAUCAUCACCAUCACCGCUCCCACCGCAGCAAGAAGCACGGUGAGGAAAGUAAACAUGCUGGCGAUGAAACCGCUUCUUCUCCUCCGAUGAAUCCUGUUGCUGCUAAUGAUAAUAGGCUUGAUGAUGACGUGGAGGAAGGCGAGAUUUUGGAGGAAGAGGGUUCUGGUGGUGUUAGUGUAAGGGCCAUCGAAUUACGCGAGGAAAAAAUUGAUUCCCAAAAUCUGGGAGUACAUGCUGACAAUAGUGGCAAUGCUUUAACUAAUUCUUACAAUGCUAACAAGUUUGACAGUAAGGUUAAUUUGCCCAAAGAUCCUAGAGCUGAGGUUCAAGAUGAAUUAGUUUAUAGAGAUAAGCUUGCGGUUCAUACCAAUGGAGAUAUGGGUCAUGAAUAUCACACAGCAGGCAAGAAACGGCAUGCAGAGUCUGGUUCUUCUAAAGGAAGUCACAAGCAAAAGAAUUACCGUGAUGCUGAUACACCUGAGGGUGCUGAAAGCAAAUUAGGUGAUUGGGGUAAUUCAUCAUCUUCUGAAAGUGGGAGGGAUAAAAACAAGACUAUGACAGGCUCAGCAUCUCAUGAUAGGUACCAUGAUGAGGAAAUUCCUAGGAGAAGAUCAUUGUCACAUGAUUUUGCUAGGGAGAGAUCUCGUUUCCACAGCAUAGUACAAGAGGAGGUUCUUUUGAAGAGAGGGCAACACAAUGGAAGGGCUGAAAAUUUUUCUGAUGAUGAAAGAAUGUCUAGACGUGAUAGGGACCUGAAGCAUGUUAGUAAAGAUUUAGAAAGGGAGCACAGUACCAGUUACAGCAGAAGUCUAGGAGGUGGGGACAGGCAUAGAAGCAGGGAUGCAUGUGGCAGAGAGGUGACCAGGGAGAAGGACAACUGGGAAUGGAGAAGGGAUCAGGUACGAGAGAGAAGCAUGGACAGGGAUCAGAGAAGAGAGAAAGAUGGAGAGAGGAGGAGAGACAGGGAUCUGAGAAGAGAGAUGGAACAGGACAGGAGUAGGGACAAGUAUGUGAGUAGAGAUAAGGAAAGGGAGAGGAGCCGGGACAGUGAUAUAAGAAGAGAGAAGGAAAGGGAGAGGAGCUGGGACAGGGAUGUGAGAAGAGAGGAGGAAAGGGAGAGGAGCAGGGACUGGGAUAUGAGAAGAGAGAUUGAAAGGGAGAGGAGCAAGGACAGAGAGAUGGACAGGGAUCGGAGAAGAGAGAGGCAACGAGAGAGAAGCAUGGACAG